This is a long non-coding RNA of Ceratosolen solmsi marchali, 422 nucleotides long. RefSeq lists it as uncharacterized. Lineage: Eukaryota; Metazoa; Arthropoda; Insecta; Hymenoptera; Agaonidae. The transcript has 3 exons. The record is from RefSeq and is a predicted model, not a curated record.
AGAGGCUUCAAUUUUAAUUUGAGAAUUUAUAUUAAAAACAAUUUUUUAUACUACAAAGAUUCCGUAUGACGUCAACGUCUAUUUUUGUUAGAUUAAGAUAUAUCCUGAUAUAGGCCUAAAAUUCUAAAUGACAAAGACACAAUCUAAUUCAAUAGCAACGAGAUACAUGUAAAGUUGUAAAAAGUUGUGUAUUCAAGAAAAUUCGACCGAAUUUACAAGUCUUUGCUGAAGACUGUAGAAUCACGAGUAUGCUGAGGAAGCAUCAGAUCUCCCAUAAGACAUGAAAUUGUUAGUAUGAUAACGCAGCAGCCUCCUCUUCCUCGACGAGGAGCUUCAAGCGAGUUUCCGUAGUAUGCGCCCAUUGGGCAGCCUCCUCGGAGAUUUCAGAGAUUUUUCGACUCAGGCUUAACCACUACCAUGAU